UGCAGUCGAACGAUGAUGCCCAGCUUGCUGGGCGGAUUAGUGGCGAACGGGUGAGUAAUACGUGAGUAACCUGCCCUUGACUCUGGGAUAAGCCUGGGAAACUGGGUCUAAUACUGGAUACUACCUCUUGCCGCAUGGUGGGUGGUGGAAAGGGUUUUACUGGUUUUGGAUGGGCUCACGGCCUAUCAGCUUGUUGGUGGGGUAAUGGCUCACCAAGGCGACGACGGGUAGCCGGCCUGAGAGGGUGACCGGCCACACUGGGACUGAGACACGGCCCAGACUCCUACGGGAGGCAGCAGUGGGGAAUAUUGCACAAUGGGCGGAAGCCUGAUGCAGCGACGCCGCGUGAGGGAUGACGGCCUUCGGGUUGUAAACCUCUUUCAGUAGGGAAGAAGCGAGAGUGACGGUACCUGCAGAAGAAGCGCCGGCUAACUACGUGCCAGCAGCCGCGGUAAUACGUAAGGGCGCAAGCGUUGUCCGGGAAUUAUUGGGGCGUAAAGAGCUCGUAGGCGGUUUGUCGCGUCUGCUGUGAAAGCCCGGGGCUCAACCCCCGGGUCUGCAGUGGGUACGGGGCAGACUAGAGUGCAGUAGGGGAGACUGGAAUUCCUGGUGUAGCGGUGAAAUGCGCAGAUAUCAGGAGGAACACCGAUGGCGAAGGCAGGUCUCUGGGCUGUUACUGACGCUGAGGAGCGAAAGCAUGGGGAGCGAACAGGAUUAGAUACCCUGGUAGUCCAUGCCGUAAACGUUGGGCACUAGGUGUGGGGGACAUUCCACGUUUUCCGCGCCGUAGCUAACGCAUUAAGUGCCCCGCCUGGGGAGUACGGCCGCAAGGCUAAAACUCAAAGGAAUUGACGGGGGCCCGCACAAGCGGCGGAGCAUGCGGAUUAAUUCGAUGCAACGCGAAGAACCUUACCAAGGCUUGACAUUCACCGGACCGCCCCAGAGAUGGGGUUUCCCUUCGGGGCUGGUGGACAGGUGGUGCAUGGUUGUCGUCAGCUCGUGUCGUGAGAUGUUGGGUUAAGUCCCGCAACGAGCGCAACCCUCGUUCUAUGUUGCCAGCACGUGAUGGUGGGGACUCAUAGGAGACUGCCGGGGUCAACUCGGAGGAAGGUGGGGAUGACGUCAAAUCAUCAUGCCCCUUAUGUCUUGGGCUUCACGCAUGCUACAAUGGCCGGUACAAAGGGUUGCGAUACUGUGAGGUGGAGCUAAUCCCAAAAAGCCGGUCUCAGUUCGGAUUGAGGUCUGCAACUCGACCUCAUGAAGUCGGAGUCGCUAGUAAUC
RNAcentral lists this ribosomal RNA (1281 nucleotides) under Kocuria sp. ALBL_117. Its description in RNAcentral is "bacterial SSU rRNA". It matches the Rfam family "Bacterial small subunit ribosomal RNA", at positions 56 to 1343 of the family's 1533-position model. Lineage: Bacteria; Bacillati; Actinomycetota; Actinomycetes; Micrococcales; Micrococcaceae. The record is from RNAcentral.